RNAcentral lists this ribosomal RNA (460 nucleotides) under uncultured bacterium. RNAcentral describes it as "partial 16S ribosomal RNA". It matches the Rfam family "Bacterial small subunit ribosomal RNA", at positions 338 to 795 of the family's 1533-position model. The record is from RNAcentral.
CCUACGGUGGGCAGCAGUGAGGAAUAUUGGUCAAUGGGCGCGAGCCUGAACCAGCCAAGUAGCGUGAAGGAUGACUGCCCUACGGGUUGUAAACUUCUUUUAUAAAGGAAUAAAGUGAGGCACGUGUGCCUUUUUGUAUGUACUUUAUGAAUAAGGAUCGGCUAACUCCGUUCCAGCAGCCGCGGUAAUCCGGAGGCUCCGAUCGUUAUCCGGAUUUAUUGGGUUUAACGGGCGCGUAGAUGGGUUGUUAAGUCAGUUGUGAAUGUUUGCGGCUCAACCGUAAAAGUGCAAUUGAUACUGGCAGCCUUGAGUACAGUUGAGGUAGGCGGAAUUCGUGGUGUAGCGGUGAAAUGCUUAGAUAUCACGAAGAACUCCGAUUGCGAAGGCAGCUUACUAAACUGCCACUGACAUUGAUGCUCGAAAGUGUGGGUAUCAAACAGGAUUAGAUACCCCAGUAGUC